GAUGAACGCUGGCGGCGUGCCUAAUACAUGCAAGUCGAGCGAACAGACGAGGAGCUUGCUCCUCUGACGUUAGCGGCGGACGGGUGAGUAACACGUGGAUAACCUACCUAUAAGACUGGGAUAACUUCGGGAAACCGGAGCUAAUACCGGAUAAUAUAUUGAACCGCAUGGUUCAAUAGUGAAAGACGGUUUUGCUGUCACUUAUAGAUGGAUCCGCGCCGCAUUAGCUAGUUGGUAAGGUAACGGCUUACCAAGGCGACGAUGCGUAGCCGACCUGAGAGGGUGAUCGGCCACACUGGAACUGAGACACGGUCCAGACUCCUACGGGAGGCAGCAGUAGGGAAUCUUCCGCAAUGGGCGAAAGCUUGACGGAGCAACGCCGCGUGAGUGAUGAAGGUCUUCGGAUCGUAAAACGCUGUUAUUAGGGAAGAACAAAUGUGUAAGUAACUAUGCACGUCUUGACGGUACCUAAGCAGAAAGCCACGGCUAACUACGU
RNAcentral lists this ribosomal RNA (496 nucleotides) under uncultured bacterium. RNAcentral's name for it is "partial 16S ribosomal RNA". It matches the Rfam family "Bacterial small subunit ribosomal RNA", at positions 28 to 506 of the family's 1533-position model. The record is from RNAcentral.